This 263-nucleotide ribosomal RNA is filed under the name uncultured bacterium. RNAcentral describes it as "partial 16S ribosomal RNA". It matches the Rfam family "Bacterial small subunit ribosomal RNA", at positions 57 to 305 of the family's 1533-position model. The record is from RNAcentral.
GCAAGUCGUACGAGAAAGCUUCUUCGGAUGUGAGUAGAGUGGCGCACGGGUGAGUAACGCGUAGGUGACCUACCUAUUUGUGGGGGAUAACUCCGGGACACCGGGGCUAAUACCGCAUUCGUACAGUAAUUUUGAAAGUAACUGUAGAAAGAUGACCUCUCCUUGGAAGUUAUCGCAGAUAGAUGGGCUUGCGUACCAUUAGCUUGUUGGUAAGGUAACGGCUUACCAAGGCCAUGAUGGUUAGCUGGUCUGAGAGGAUGAUC